RNAcentral lists this ribosomal RNA (465 nucleotides) under uncultured bacterium. RNAcentral's name for it is "partial 16S ribosomal RNA". It matches the Rfam family "Bacterial small subunit ribosomal RNA", at positions 28 to 507 of the family's 1533-position model. The record is from RNAcentral.
GACGAACGCUGGCGGCGUGCUUAACACAUGCAAGUCGAACGGAAAGGCCCUGCUUGCAGGGUACUCGAGUGGCGAACGGGUGAGUAACACGUGGGUGAUCUGCCCUGCACUUCGGGAUAAGCCUGGUAAACUGGGUCUAAUACCGGAUAGGAGCCAUUUUUAGUGUGAUGGUUGGAAAGUUUUUUCGGUGUAGGAUGAGCUCGCGGCCUAUCAGCUUGUUGGUGGGGUAAUGGCCUACCAAGGCGGCGACGGGUAGCCGGCCUGAGAGGGUGGACGGCCACAUUGGGACUGAGAGACGGCACAGACGCCGACGGGAGGCAGCAGUGGGGAAUAUUGAACAAGGGGCGCAAGCCGGAUGCAGCGACGCCGCGUGGGGGAUGACGGCCUUAGGGUUGUAAAAUCCUUUCGCUAGGGACGAAGCUUUUUGUGACGGUACCUAGAUAAGAAGCACCGGCUAACUACGUG